UGAAGAGCGCCACCUGUUGUUUGGUUUUCCCGAUAAUGUAUGUGGCGGUAGGCUAGGCCUGUACACCAAGCAUGUUUUGUCAGUUGACAGAGUUUGAAGGUUCUACCAAGGAUGUCAACUGUGGAGCACAUACAGGAUGCAGAGCACACUGAUGACGUAUCACCAUGGCAACGCGUACCGCUCAACAUCACUUGAAUGAGAUUGUACCUGACACCGUUAAUUGUAAAGAGCGCCACCUGUUGUUUGGUUAUCGAUCAAGAUUAUGCAGCAGAUAAUGCAGCGGUAGGCUAUAUAGGCCUGUACGUCAGAGUUACUUCUACAACGACGAUAGGUUCAACCACAACUAUGCGCAGGCCAAAGCCACAGCAGGCAACUACAAGGAAGCAGAGGAGAUUUUUGUGCUCAUUCAGAGUGAGAAGAUCAAGAAUGACUACACGUGUCUCUGGUUGGCAAGAUGCUGCAUCGUGAAUCGUAAGGCCAGACUAGCCUGGGAGUUGUACCUUAAGAUGGAGACGUCUGGCGAAUCGUUCAGCCUGCUGUAGCUCAUUGCCAACGACGGCUACAAGAUGGCCAGUUCUACUAUGCGACCAAGGCUUUCGAUGUCCUGGAAAGAUUGGACCCCAAUCCUGAAUACUGGGAAGGCAAGCGAGGGGCGUGCGUGGGCGUAUUCCAGCAGAUCAUAGCUGGCCAUGAACCAAG
This is an RNA transcript of Patiria miniata (bat star), 699 nucleotides long. It is a transcript of the gene named intraflagellar transport protein 56-like, with no coding region annotated. The record is from RefSeq and is a predicted model, not a curated record. The transcript is spliced from 6 exons. Lineage: Eukaryota; Metazoa; Echinodermata; Asteroidea; Valvatida; Asterinidae.